This 253-nucleotide ribosomal RNA is filed under the name uncultured bacterium. RNAcentral describes it as "partial 16S ribosomal RNA". It matches the Rfam family "Bacterial small subunit ribosomal RNA", at positions 524 to 776 of the family's 1533-position model. The record is from RNAcentral.
UACAGAGGUCUCGAGCGUUGUUCGGAAUUAUUGGGCGUAAAGAGCUCGUAGGCGGCUUGGCGCGUCGGCUGGGAAAUCCCGUGGCUCAACUGCGGGUCUGCAGCCGAUACGGGCUAGCUAGAGUUCGGUAGGGGAGACUGGAAUUCCUGGUGUAGCGGUGAAAUGCGCAGAUAUCAGGAGGAACACCGGUGGCGAAGGCGGGUCUCUGGGCCGAUACUGACGCUGAGGAGCGAAAGCGUGGGGAGCGAACAGG